This 703-nucleotide ribosomal RNA is filed under the name Chaetothyriales sp. Its description in RNAcentral is "SSU rRNA". It matches the Rfam family "Eukaryotic small subunit ribosomal RNA", at positions 36 to 748 of the family's 1831-position model. The record is from RNAcentral. Lineage: Eukaryota; Fungi; Ascomycota; Eurotiomycetes; Chaetothyriales.
CUCAAAGAUUAAGCCAUGCAUGUCUAAGUAUAAGCAACUAUACUGUGAAACUGCGAAUGGCUCAUUAAAUCAGUUAUCGUUUAUUUGAUAGUACCUUUACCUGGAUAACCGUGGUAAUUCUAGAGCUAAUACAUGCUAAAAACCUCGACUUCGGAAGGGGUGUAUUUAUUAGAUAAAAAACCAAUGCCCUUCGGGGCUCCUUGGUGAAUCAUAAUAACUUAACGAAUCGCAUGGCCUUGCGCCGGCGAUGGUUCAUUCAAAUUUCUGCCCUAUCAACUUUCGAUGGUAAGAUAGAGGCUUACCAUGGUCUUAACGGGUAACGGGGAAUUAGGGUUCUAUUCCGGAGAGGGAGCCUGAGAAACGGCUACCACAUCCAAGGAAGGCAGCAGGCGCGCAAAUUACCCAAUCCCGACACGGGGAGGUAGUGACAAUAAAUACUGAUACGGGGCUCUUUUGGGUCUCGUAAUUGGAAUGAGUACAAUCUAAAUCCCUUAACGAGGAACAAUUGGAGGGCAAGUCUGGUGCCAGCAGCCGCGGUAAUUCCAGCUCCAAUAGCGUAUAUUAAAGUUGUUGCCGUUAAAAAGCUCGUAGUUGAACCUUGGGCCUGGCUGACCUGUCCUCCUAAUCGAGCGCACGGGUUCGGUCGGGCCUUUCCUUCUAGGGAACCCCAUGCCCUUCACUGGGUGUGGUGGGGAACUAGGAC